GUUAGUGUAAUUUAUUC
Molecule: transfer RNA, 17 nt
Filed under: Proteus anguinus (olm)
Lineage: Eukaryota; Metazoa; Chordata; Amphibia; Caudata; Proteidae
Description: partial tRNA-Phe
Source: RNAcentral